AAAAAAAAGUUUAAAAAAUACAAAAAAUUGAAAAACAUAUAAGACCUAACAAUAUAAAAAGUCUGACAAAAAAUUAAAAAAGAGAAAAGUUAAUGCAAAAUAGAAAAAGUAUGAGAAUUUAAAAACGCAAAUAAGAAAUGAAAGGAAAUUUGUGGAAAAAAAAAGCAAGAAAAGAAUAAAAAUGAAAAGACAAAAGAUUUGGAAUAAAAAACAGAAAAAUAAAAAUUUUUAAAACAAGGAAAAAAUGAAAGCAUAUGAAAAAAAGCAAAAAGAAGGAAAAUUGUGAAGGGAAAAAGUUAUUAAACAUUACAAAGCAGAAAAAAAAUAAAAAAUAAAAAAAAAUUUUGAACCUAAUAAAAAUUUUUUAAAAUAUAAAUAAAAUAUAAAUGAAAAAAUAAAUUAAGAGAAAAAAUUAAAUAAGAUGCCCAAAAAGGAAAAAAUAAAAAAAAAACAAAAAGAAAAAAGUAACAAAGUAAGAAAAUAAAAAAUUGGCGAAUAAAAAAAAAUAUAAAAAGACAAAAUGAAUAAAAAUUUCAAAUAUAAAAUGGAAAAAACUUUUAGUUUAGAAUGUACAAAAAAAAAUAUAACAAAUAGAGGACAAAGAUAUAAAAUAUGAAAGAUGAAAAAUAAAGUAAAAGCUAAUAAAAACUAAAAAGAAAAGAAAGUGCACAAAAAAAGAAGUUUGAGGUUUUAAAAUUAUAAAGAAGAAAUAACAAAAAGUGUGAACAAAAAGAUUUAAGAAAAAAAAUAAAAAUACAAAAUACAUAAAAUAAAAUUUGAGAAAAAAAUAAAAAAAUGAAGAGGUAAAAAA
This 811-nucleotide long non-coding RNA is filed under the name Durio zibethinus. Its description in RNAcentral is "long non-coding RNA (DZIB_LNC002168)". Lineage: Eukaryota; Viridiplantae; Streptophyta; Magnoliopsida; Malvales; Malvaceae. The record is from RNAcentral.